AAACCAUGAUGAGGACAUUGUCUUAAUAAACCUUUGAAUUUGUUCAUGCUUCAAAUAGUGAUUCUCCAUAUGCUUGAGAAAAAUUUAUGAUGAAAUUCUUUAUGUGC
Zingiber officinale is the source of this 107-nucleotide small nucleolar RNA. The record is from RefSeq and is a predicted model, not a curated record. Lineage: Eukaryota; Viridiplantae; Streptophyta; Magnoliopsida; Zingiberales; Zingiberaceae.